RNAcentral lists this ribosomal RNA (676 nucleotides) under uncultured bacterium. RNAcentral's name for it is "bacterial SSU rRNA". It matches the Rfam family "Bacterial small subunit ribosomal RNA", at positions 8 to 679 of the family's 1533-position model. The record is from RNAcentral.
AGAGUUUGAUCAUGGCUCAGAUUGAACGCUGGCGGCAUGCCUUACACAUGCAAGUCGAACGGCAGCACGGGAGCAAUCCUGGUGGCGAGUGGCGAACGGGUGAGUAAAGUAUCGGAACGUGCCCAGUCGUGGGGGAUAACGUAGCGAAAGCUACGCUAAUACCGCAUACGAUCUAUGGAUGAAAGCGGGGGAUCGCAAGACCUCGCGCGAUUGGAGCGGCCGAUAUCAGAUUAGGUAGUUGGUGGGGUAAAGGCCUACCAAGCCGACGAUCUGUAGCUGGUCUGAGAGGACGACCAGCCACACUGGGACUGAGACACGGCCCAGACUCCUACGGGAGGCAGCAGUGGGGAAUUUUGGACAAUGGGCGCAAGCCUGAUCCAGCAAUGCCGCGUGCAGGAUGAAGGCCUUCGGGUUGUAAACUGCUUUUGUACGGAGCGAAAAGGCUUCCACUAAUACUGGAGGCUCAUGACGGUACCGUAAGAAUAAGCACCGGCUAACUACGUGCCAGCAGCCGCGGUAAUACGUAGGGUGCAAGCGUUAAUCGGAAUUACUGGGCGUAAAGCGUGCGCAGGCGGUCUUGUAAGACAGGUGUGAAAUCCCCGGGCUUAACCUGGGAACUGCACUUGUGACUGCAAGGCUGGAGUACGGCAGAGGGGGAUGGAAUUCCGCGUGUAGC